AUCUGCUGGCUGAUGGUCCAUCUUUUGGUAGGAUAAAGAAGUUGAAAAAAGGGAGAUCGGGGCCAGAUUGUGAGAGUCAUAAGCCGGGGUAAGCUUGGUGCUAUUUCUUUAUUUUCUUUGCUUUUAUUAUUUGCUUAUGAAGAAUUGUAAUUGAGAGAAGUAUUGUUGAAAUUGUGAUUAGAAUAUUGUAGAAUAUGACUUUGGACUGAUCAUUUUAGAAAAAAUCUAUGAUCUUGAGAAUUGAGAUUAUCGAAUUGUAUUGUGUAAAAUGAAGAUAUUGAAUUCUGUGUGAUGAAUUGAAAAACUGAAUAUAAUAAGUAAGCUAGAGAUCAAUAAUUGAAUAUAUAUAAACUACAAAGAGAGUAAGUGAGAGAUGAACUGAUAAGAAUAUAGAAGUAUUGUUGAAUUGAUAGUCGUAGAAUGGAUUAUGUAUUGAAUUAAGAUGGAAGUAGUAAGCCUUGGUAUU
Molecule: long non-coding RNA, 466 nt
Filed under: Physcomitrium patens
Lineage: Eukaryota; Viridiplantae; Streptophyta; Bryopsida; Funariales; Funariaceae
Description: long non-coding RNA (PPAT_LNC014366)
Source: RNAcentral